AAUUCUGAAGACCAGGUUCAGAUUCACACCUAUUUCAAGCCCCCGAGUUGCCCUCGGACCAUCCAGGUGUCUGAUUUUGUGAGGUACCACUACAACGGGACGUUCCUGGACGGAACUCUGUUUGAUUCGAGUCACAAUCGCAUGAAAACAUAUGACACGUAUGUGGGAAUUGGCUGGCUGAUUCCUGGAAUGGAUAAAGGGCUGCUGGGGAUGUGUGUGGGUGAGAAGCGCAUCAUCACCAUUCCUCCUUUUCUGGCCUAUGGAGAGGAUGGAGAUGGGAAAGACAUUCCCGGUCAGGCAUCUCUGGUGUUUGAUGUUGCAUUAUUGGACCUCCAUAACCCCAAGGACAGCAUUUCCAUUGAGAACAAGGUAGUACCUGAAAACUGUGAGCGGAUAAGUCAAAGUGGGGACUUUCUCAGGUAUCAUUACAAUGGCACGCUUCUGGAUGGCACCCUCUUUGAUUCCAGCUACUCUCGGAACCGCACGUUUGACACGUACAUUGGGCAGGGCUACGUGAUUCCUGGGAUGGAUGAAGGUCUACUUGGUGUUUGCAUUGGAGAAAAGCGAAGGAUUGUGGUCCCCCCUCACCUGGGGUAUGGAGAGGAAGGAAGAGGACGGAGUCUCACUCUGUUGCCCACGCUAGAGUACAGUGGUGCAAUCCUAACUCACUGUAGCCUUGACCUCCUGGCCUCAAGCAAUCCUC
This 703-nucleotide small RNA is filed under the name Pan troglodytes (chimpanzee). RNAcentral's name for it is "processed transcript". Lineage: Eukaryota; Metazoa; Chordata; Mammalia; Primates; Hominidae. The record is from RNAcentral.